Long non-coding RNA from Quercus lobata, 1098 nucleotides. RefSeq lists it as uncharacterized. The transcript has 3 exons. NCBI's taxonomy places the organism in Eukaryota, Viridiplantae, Streptophyta, Magnoliopsida, Fagales, Fagaceae. The record is from RefSeq and is a predicted model, not a curated record.
GGGACAGUGUUUCUAUUGUGUUCAGCUGGAGAAAAAUUAAUUACAUUAUGGAUUUUUAAUAUACUCCCAAGCUAGAGGAAGUUUAUAAGAGUUAGUUUCAUGUUUGUACGUCUAGGUAACAUGUUUAUACACUGUAGCAUGAAGCUUUGACCAAAAAUAAGAUAUUUUGCAUUUUGGGAAGCACAUAGUGGCAGAGGUACCACCUGACAAUUUGACAUAUAAGAGCGAAAAGUAAUUUCUGAUGUAUCAGAGAAUUCUUUUCAAGUCUCAAGGAUACCUCACAUACCGCCGUUUUGGAGCCCAACCUUCCUUUGGUGAUCUAAGUUGUUGGGCCAACUUUGGCACCUAUAUGUCCUUUGUUGGAGGCAUCAAAUUUGUGACGAUGUUGGAGUCUUUCCAGAGGUGUUGGGGUAACUUUUCAUCUCUUCAAACACUGAAGUUACUUACAAGAACUGCUACUACCUACCAACAAAUCAAGAAGUGAGAUCUCUUUCUGUGUAAAGCUGAAUGGAAGUUUGCCAGAGUGAUUGUGGAAAAAGGAUAUAUUUUAACUUCUAGCGAUGUGAAUGAUUGUGUUCCGUACCGAUAGAUGUUUUGUUUCUUACUGUUUGCUUUGAAAUGGGUAUGGAAGUAGUGGGAGUGGCCCAUUGGUAAAAUAUUUGAGAUGGUCCAAGAAUCACUAUAGAGGGAAUUCUAAAUUGAUUACAAUACAAUUGUGUCAUCAAAAUUUGUGAGUUCACUCAUUUCUCUCAUCUACUUCUCUUUAGAUUUUUCUCUUCCAACAAAACCUAUCAAUGUUCCUUCGUUCCUCCUCUUUUUUCUAUUUUCAAUUCCUCGUACUAUUUGCUAAAUUUGUUGGGCAUGUACAAUUUACAGAUGUUGGUUAUCCUUCAUUUCCCAAUUAGUGGUCAUUUACUUCAGCACAGAGUGGUCCAAGAAUGCCCCUGUUUCAUAUAUCCAGAUAAAUUUUUUAUUCCAAUUGUAACAUCAUAAUAAAUUGGUGUUUUCUCUCACACGUCCUUUUUUUCUUUUCUUUUUUCUCUAACAUUUCACUUCUGAAUAAACUAGCUAUUUCCAAAUAUCCAAUUAUUUCAUAGA